AAUGGCACUGGAAGAAUUCACGGAUAAUGUUUGACUCCGUGGUUUCUCUGGUGCUAUAAG
Molecule: microRNA precursor, 60 nt
Filed under: Parasteatoda tepidariorum (common house spider)
Lineage: Eukaryota; Metazoa; Arthropoda; Arachnida; Araneae; Theridiidae
Description: microRNA pte-mir-263b precursor
Gene: pte-mir-263b
Source: miRBase by way of RNAcentral